GAUGAAGAACGCAGCGAAAUGCGAUAAGUAAUGUGAAUUGCAGAAUUCAGUGAAUCAUCGAAUCUUUGAACGCACCUUGCGCUCCUUGGUAUUCCGAGGAGCAUGCCUGUUUGAGUGUCAUUAAUAUAUCAACCUUCACUUGUUGAAUGGUUUGGAUGUGGGGGUUUGCUGGUCUCUUAAAGGGUUCAGCUCCUCUAAAAUGCAUUAGCAGAACAAUCUGUUCAUUGGUGUGAUAACUAUCUACGCUCUUGAAUAAGAUGCAGUUCAGCUUUCUAACUGUCCUUGGACAAUUUAUCAUUUAUGUGACCUCAAAUCAGGUAGGACUACCCGCUGAACUUAAGCAUAUCAAUAAGCGGAGGA
RNAcentral lists this unclassified non-coding RNA (360 nucleotides) under soil metagenome. Its description in RNAcentral is "partial contains 5.8S ribosomal RNA, internal transcribed spacer 2, and large subunit ribosomal RNA". The stretch from base 1 to 120 matches the Rfam family "5.8S ribosomal RNA", at positions 35 to 154 of the family's 154-position model. The record is from RNAcentral.